RNAcentral lists this unclassified non-coding RNA (1118 nucleotides) under Hevea brasiliensis (rubber tree). The record is from RNAcentral. Lineage: Eukaryota; Viridiplantae; Streptophyta; Magnoliopsida; Malpighiales; Euphorbiaceae.
UAAAUAAAAAUUUUUAUUAUUACUAUCCACCGCUAGACCAACUUGUUCUCAUCGAAAUAAUCAACGAUUCACACUCCUAGCUUCAUAGUUGCUGAUUGGGAUAGCCUUUCUUAUAGAAUUUAUUUUUCUUUUUACUUAAUGGCGUAUAAUUAUGUUUUUUUUAUUAUUGUUUAAAAUAAUUGAGUCCUAAUUUAGAUUGAAAAUUUUAAUUUAAUACCAUUGAAUAUGAGCUACAAGUAGCCAAGCUAGUUCUGCAACUAAUUAACAGAAUUGCAAACUCGUCUAAUCUCUCCUUCUGAACCUGUUUUAACACCAAUAUUCCCCAACUUCACCAUUGCUACAGCAAAAUCAGCUUUAAAAGACGGGCGUCUAUUCGUAAAGCCAACAUAGGAAUCGAGUACCUGCCUAGUGUUCUUGUCAUCAUAAAGCCUAGCAUCAGAUGCUAGCACAGCAAACCCAUUUCUGAUGUUGUGGAAGAUAUGAUCGUCAAAUGUGAAUUGAGAGGACAAGUCAAGAGGUAGUCGAACAUUUACAUCUCCAUUGAGAGGGCAUUGAGCUUUAAGCUGUGGCAGAAAUUGUGAAUUGAUUGCAGGAUCAGAGUCACCAUGACCAGUAAAGUUGUACAGUCUCUUUGGCAUGAAGAAGCACGCAGAAGUUCCAAUUGUAUGCCCACCACCACUGAGAAGGACAAGUUCUUUAUCUGAAAGGCCCAUCUCUCUGAACUUAGACCUGAGAAGCUCAAUUGAGUCAUCAACAUCUGGCAAAUUGGCAGCGAGUUGAAUAUUUGAAAUUCGACCAUCUCUCCUCCCAGUUGGAACACCAUAAAAUGGCCCAGCAGUCUGCAGAGGCAGAACAUCAAUGGCAGAAGCAUUAAAGUAUGUAAUAACAUAUAUUUCUCCGUUUUAUAAUAUGAAUCAAGUACCAAGGCAACAGCAUCACGGGCAGCUAAAGCCACAAUGUCUGCACAUGAAACCACUCCAGGGCAAGUGGCUUCCAAUUGUGCCUUGGCAUUAUGUAUCACUUCAAAACCUGCAAGGCCCAAGUUCCCUUUUGCAUUUCUCUCACUAGUUUCACCAUUCUCUAGCAAAAUUGACCCAUCACAGCCCUGAACAAAGCAG